Molecule: long non-coding RNA, 1065 nt
Organism: Xenia sp. Carnegie-2017
Lineage: Eukaryota; Metazoa; Cnidaria; Anthozoa; Malacalcyonacea; Xeniidae
Exons: 2
Source: RefSeq, a predicted model, not a curated record
GGUUGUUGCUGUAGCACAACAGUUGUGUUGUUAGUGCUCUGCUGCUGCAUGAAGCCAGGAUGUGUCAUUGGCUGUUGUUGCAUGCCGCCAGGCUGUGGCAUUGGCUGUUGUUGCAUAGGUUGUCCUGGAUAUGGUUGGGUGUAAUGUGGAGGGGUAUCCAUUUUAUCAUUAUACCCUGGUUCUAAUGUUGGAUUGUACAUUUUGGUAUUGGACACUGAACUAAAUAAACAUAAGUUGAACUAAAAGAGUGGGUUAGUGAGUUGUAGUCAUGUAUGGAGGGGAUAAUGAAAUGUGGUGAUGUAUUGAGUAGAAUGGUUAGUGGUAAUAGUGUAUGGAAUGGGAUAGUAAGUGGUCGGUAGUGUCAAGUACUUCAUUACAAGUAACUAUAGCUAUUCUUAAGUUGUUAUUCGUGAAAUGUUUUUUAACGUAAUAAAAAAAUAAUAAAAGAAAACAAAAAACUCGUCGUUUAAAUUAAAUGCGCAUUAGCGAUAGUGCUUUUGCGAAAUUAUGAUUACAAACGAUAAAAGACGUAAAACUAAAAAGUGUCAAGCUACAAAUGCUGUAUAGACAGGUUGUUACAUCACAUUGAAUCAUUUUAAAAGUUGGAAGUUCGUCAAUCUAAAUGCCAUGAGCAUCUAAUUCACGUUCCAUUUGGCACAUAGCACAAGCUCCCCAGUUAGACAAAACACAGUUAUCUUCCCAGAUACUUCCCUAAAGAAAAAGACAAAAUUUCAUAUAGUUUCAAUGCCAAAAAUGUCCAACUUGUUGACAUAAAAAAAACAGUAUUUUAAAGAAAAGAGAAGAAGUCAAAUGAUGUUUAACCAACCUUAAUUCAAAAAAAAACAACAAUUUGUUUUAACUUACUUUAAUAUUAUGUUUUGUUCUGAUCUUGGUUCUCAGAGCAACUGGACACAUCAAAGCAACACAACAGCAUUCACCAGCUUUGCCACUUACAAUUAUCCUGUGAAUAACUGGGCAAAAACAUCCAAGUAAACCUUCAACAAUACAAAAAAUUUAUCUUAAAUAGUCAUACCUAACAACAGCGAUAAAACAUGUUAUAUAUAA